UGGGGAAUCUUGCACAAUGGGGGAAACCCUGAUGCAGCGACGCCGCGUGAGCGAUGAAGUCCUUCGGGGCGUAAAGCUCUUUCGACGGGAACGAUAAUGACGGUACCCGGAGAAGAAGCUGCGGCUAACUACGUGCCAGCAGCCGCGGUAAUACGUAGGCAGCAAGCGUUGUUCGGAGUUACUGGGCGUAACGAGUAUGUAGGCGGUCUUCUAAGUUUGGUGUGAAAUCUCCCGGCUCAACUGGGCGGGUGCGCCGAAAACUGGGGGGCUUGAGCGUGGUUC
RNAcentral lists this ribosomal RNA (282 nucleotides) under uncultured prokaryote. RNAcentral's name for it is "partial 16S ribosomal RNA". It matches the Rfam family "Bacterial small subunit ribosomal RNA", at positions 355 to 654 of the family's 1533-position model. The record is from RNAcentral.